AUCUUGGUUCAGAUUGAAUGCUGACGGCGUGGAUGAGGCAUGCAAGUCGUACGAAGCUGCAGGGUAACUUGUAGCUUAGUGGCGAAAGGGUUAGUAAUACAUAGGUAAUCUGCCUUUAACUCUGGAAUAACGAUUGGAAACGAUCGCUAAUACCGGAUGAGGUGGUGUAAGGCAUCUUACACUUACCAAAGUGGGGGACUCAGUAAUGGGCCUUGCGGUUAGAGAAGAGUCUAUGAGAUAUCAGCUUGUUGGUGUGGUAAAGGCGCACCAAGGCUAAGACGUCUAGGCGGAUUGAGAGAUUGACCGCCAACACUGGGACUGAGACACUGCCCAGACUCCUACGGGAGGCUGCAGUCGAGAAUCUUUCGCAAUGGGCGAAAGCCUGACGAAGCGACGCCGUGUGAACGAUGAAGGCCUUAGGGUUGUAAAGUUCUUUCGCCUGGGAACAAGAGAAAUAGUUUAAUAAACUAUUGAUUUGAGGGUACUAGGUAAAGAAGCACCGGCUAACUCCGUGCCAGCAGCCG
RNAcentral lists this ribosomal RNA (524 nucleotides) under Coccolithus braarudii. RNAcentral's name for it is "partial Bacterial small subunit ribosomal RNA". It matches the Rfam family "Bacterial small subunit ribosomal RNA", at positions 16 to 517 of the family's 1533-position model. The record is from RNAcentral. Lineage: Eukaryota; Haptophyta; Coccolithales; Coccolithaceae.